Molecule: ribosomal RNA, 381 nt
Filed under: uncultured eukaryote
Lineage: Eukaryota
Description: partial 18S ribosomal RNA
Rfam family: Eukaryotic small subunit ribosomal RNA
Source: RNAcentral
CAAUAGCGUAUAUUAAAGCUGUUGCGGUUAAAAAGCUCGUAGUUGGAUUUCUGUCAAGGACAACUGGUCCGCCCCUCGGGUGAGCACAUAGUUUGGUCUUGGCAUCUUGUUGGAAACUGUUGCUGCACUUGGUUGUGUGGCGCAGUGUCCAGCACUUUCACUUUGAGGAAAUUGGUGUGUUUCAAGCAGGCACAUGCCUUUGGACACAGUAGCAUGGAAUAAUUAGAUUGGGCUUUUGCUCCAACUUGUCGGUUUCUGGAGCUGAGGUGAGAAUUAAUGGGGAUUGUUGGGGGCAUCCGAAUUUAGCCGUCAGAGGUGAAAUUCUUGGAUCUGCUAAAGACGGACAACUGCGAAAGCGUUUGCCCAGGAUGUUUUCAUUGA